Molecule: transfer RNA, 85 nt
Filed under: Armatimonadota bacterium
Lineage: Bacteria; Bacillati; Armatimonadota
Description: Armatimonadetes bacterium (activated sludge metagenome) tRNA-Leu
Rfam family: tRNA
About the family: Transfer RNA (tRNA) molecules are approximately 80 nucleotides in length.
Source: RNAcentral
GGGCGAGUGGCGGAAUUGGUAGACGCGCUGGAUUUAGGUUCCAGUACUUCACGGUGUGAGGGUUCGAGUCCCUCCUUGCCCACCA